RNAcentral lists this unclassified non-coding RNA (304 nucleotides) under uncultured Rickettsia sp. The record is from RNAcentral. Lineage: Bacteria; Pseudomonadati; Pseudomonadota; Alphaproteobacteria; Rickettsiales; Rickettsiaceae.
UGUGGAAGCACAGUAAUGUGUGUAGCUAACCGAUACUAAUAGCUCGAUUGAUUUACUUUGCUGUGAGAUUACACAUGCAUAUGGUGUUAAUUCUAUAAACAUGUAAGUAUCAACUCACAAAGUUAUCAGGUUAAAUUAGCUUUAUCAACCAAUAAAGAUGUUGUUACAUGUCUCUUUCUAUGUUGUUCCUGUGAAAGUAAGAAUCUAGAAAAAGCCAUGCAACAAUGUUAACAGCAGACUAAUACAAAUCUAUCUUUUUAAAAGUUUGUAUUGCUAGCUUGGUGGUUAUAGCAUGAGUGAAACA